AUUCUUAAAGGCGACACGCUCAGCUUGGCGCAGCCGCCCACCCUUUGAAGUCGAGAACCUCGGCGCUGCCCUGUGUAUUGACCGCACAGCUCCGAAGACCAGGGCUAUGGCCCGGAACCCCCUACAUUGGGUGGCAGCGGCGGCAGCGAGGCCCCUCCGGAGAAGGGCCAGCUCCAGGGCCAGCCUCGACCCCCAUUUCCCUCGCGCAGCCCCGCAGGAGCCUGCUAUCUGCACCCCACGGAAGUCCUGACGGCGUCGUACCCCGGGGGAGCGCGCGGGCCCUGGAAACUGGCCGCCGCCGGUGUUCCAAUCAGAAAAUGGCUUGCAGGGCCUGCGCCUGUGCGUCGUGCCAACCGUGCCCGCACUUUGGACUUGGGACGGGAAGACGUCUCGGGUCAGCUGUGGCCUGGGCAGAGUUUAACUUCUACAACGAGCGGGUCUCCUCUGCCCAGCGAAGGGUUCGAGGCGUUUACUCACUUUUACCUGCGUUACCUGGGCACUUGCUAGGCAGAACUGCCUUAAAUCCCAUGAGCUCCUGGUUACAAACCCGUGUGGAUCCUCAGGGACCCAUGUGGUUCUCUGAGAAGAGAAGCUAAAAGUAGCACCUUGCUGUCUAAGUUUAGGACACUAUUUUUAGGUCCUGAGUAAAGUACCGGGGGCUGGAUUUGUUCGUGGGAGGUGUUUUUAAAGGAUAAACCGUCACCAAAUCUUCCUGGCCAGCACGAUAAUCCUCACCAAAUUCGGCCUUUUAACUCAAGUCCUUGGUGAAGCAACUCAAAAGCGAACAGAUACUUCUUCCUAAACCAGUCACCCAAGAGAACUCAAUGAAAUCUUUUAUUGAACAAAAUUUAAGGAAAUUUUCCUAAUGGAAGCACUACCAGCAACAGAACUGCUGUGCCAAAAAGAAUCCAAACAUGGCCCAAGUUCACAGCAAGUGAUUUUCAGGACCAAAAUGCUGCCUAGCUUUUUGGAGCUCAAAGUGCUCACUCUAAUUUGCCACAUCAGCCUAAGGAGUCACAGGAACUAUCAGUAUCAGAAAGUAGCAGAAAUUGCUUAAUAAUUCUCCAUCUCUAAGGGAAUGUCAACUCUCUGGAAACUAGCAAGGAAAGGGAAGAGGAAGCCUCUGAAAGCAAAACAAUGUCAUUAAGCCCAGUUUUCACAAAGACUAAUUGGUGACACCACCAUCUACCUGGUCAUCCUAGCUAGAAACCUGGUAUAUCCCACCAGGGAGGAACAUCAAAUGGUUGAGUUUUUAAAUCAUUUAAAAUAUUUUUUUUCUGUAUGGUUAUGCCAUUAAUCUGAUAUACUCCAAAUGUCAUUUGUAUCCAUUUAUUUCAGGUUUCUAGGGAUUUUUUUUCUUUUUGAUUCAAGUGUUUUAGUUAUGUGAAAUAAAUGGUUUCAGAGUAGAGACUAUAAAACAAGAUGCAGUUGAAGAAGUCUGUUCAACCCUUUGUCCUUCCAUUUAAUAAUACAGGGUUUUUUUUAAGAUUACAAAAUUGGACUGAAUUGUUAAGAGAGGGAGAUUCAACAGAGCAUUGUUAGUGACAGAAACUAGUGUGCCCCUCUAUUUAUUCUAUCAUCUAUACAUAUUAGUAAAAUUUUAUAGUUUUUGUCAUACAAGUCUUGCACAUUUUUAUUCAGUUUAGCCCGAGGGUUUAUGUGUGUAUCUUUGUUACUUUGAAUAGGUUUUUUCUCCUGUCCUGAUGUUUCCACUUAGUUGUUGUUUGUAUAUAGGAAAUUUCCAGUUUGCUAUUCAUAAGCAAAAUAAGCUAGUUUCUGUUUAGACAUACUUAUUAUUCUAAAGAUGUUGAUCAUUCCUAAAUUAUAAAGUCAAUGUAAUUGCAAUA
Long non-coding RNA from Manis javanica (Malayan pangolin), 1847 nucleotides. RefSeq lists it as uncharacterized. NCBI's taxonomy places the organism in Eukaryota, Metazoa, Chordata, Mammalia, Pholidota, Manidae. The record is from RefSeq and is a predicted model, not a curated record.